CCUACGGGGCGCUGCAGUGAGGAAUAUUGGUCAAUGGGCGCUAGCCUGAACCAGUCAAGUAGCGUGAAGGAUGACUGCCCUAUGGGUUGUAAACUUCUUUUAUAUGGGAAUAAAGUGCAGUAUGUAUACUGCUUUGCAUGUACCUUAUGAAUAAGGAUCGGCUAACUCCGUGCCAGCAGCCGCGGUAAUACGGAGGAUCCGAGCGUUAUCCGGAUUUAUUGGGUUUAAAGUGAGCGUAGGCGGGUUGUUAAGUCAGUUGUGAAAGUUUGCGGCUCAACCGUAAAAUUGCAGUUGAUACUGGCAGCCUUGAGUACAGUAGAGGUAGGCGGAAUUCGUGGUGUAGCGGUGAAAUGCUUAGAUAUCACGAAGAACUCCGAUUGCGAAGGCAGCCUGCUGGACUGUAACUGACGCUGAUGCUCGAAAGUGUGGGUAUCAAACAGGAUUAGAUACCCCGGUAGUC
RNAcentral lists this ribosomal RNA (460 nucleotides) under uncultured bacterium. RNAcentral describes it as "partial 16S ribosomal RNA". It matches the Rfam family "Bacterial small subunit ribosomal RNA", at positions 338 to 795 of the family's 1533-position model. The record is from RNAcentral.